AUUUAUAUAGUUUAUAUAAAACGUUAUAUUUUCAUUAUAAAAAAAGAGUAAUCUUAUAAGUA
This 62-nucleotide transfer RNA is filed under the name Harmonia quadripunctata (cream-streaked ladybird beetle). RNAcentral describes it as "tRNA-Glu". Lineage: Eukaryota; Metazoa; Arthropoda; Insecta; Coleoptera; Coccinellidae. The record is from RNAcentral.